This 253-nucleotide ribosomal RNA is filed under the name uncultured bacterium. Its description in RNAcentral is "partial 16S ribosomal RNA". It matches the Rfam family "Bacterial small subunit ribosomal RNA", at positions 524 to 776 of the family's 1533-position model. The record is from RNAcentral.
UACGAAGGGGGCUAGCGUUGUUCGGAAUUACUGGGCGUAAAGCGCACGUAGGCGGCUUUGUAAGUUAGAGGUGAAAGCCCGGGGCUCAACUCCGGAAUUGCCUUUAAAACUGCAUCGCUGGAAUUGUGGAGAGGUAAGUGGAAUUCCGAGUGUAGAGGUGAAAUUCGUAGAUAUUCGGAAGAACACCAGUGGCGAAGGCGACUUACUGGACAGAUAUUGACGCUGAGGUGCGAAAGCGUGGGGAGCAAACAGG